AGAACUGGUUCAAGUGGUUGGUGCUUCUAAUACAAGUUGUGGUCAUUGUGUCUCACGUACGUACCAGUGUUACUGCAACUGAAUUGCAGCACUGAAAUUUCAGGAACAAGUUUUUCUCAGUUGCUUUGGUACAUUUCUACAAUCAUCCUCAACAUUUGCAAAACUAUUUGUAUCUGUAAACUAUGGCUAAGGAUUAGAUGACAAUGAUUCAAAAUGCACAAGGCUGCACUUUUUCUGUAUGGCACAGAUCAUUUUCAACAGUACAGAGUUAUACAUUGCUGGGAAUUGGACAGGAUUCAAUGUUACACUUUUCUGUAUGCACUGUAAUUUGGUGACAGAGCAAACUCUUCACACAGUGAGCACAACAGAAGUAUAUGUGGGCCAAACUGAGGAUCAAUUAUCAUUGCUUUGGCACAAAAUGCAUUCAAUGACUACAUCUUCCAAAUUACAUUCAUUCUUUUCUCACUUUGACACAACAACCGCCAAAACUCUGUGUACUUACAGGCCAAUUAGCACAUGCUUACACACUGUUUUCAAAACUGUUAAACUUAAGUUCAAAACAAUAACAUAAUACAAAACUGAAUAAGACAGCAAUUUGCUACAAUUCUACAGUAAUAUUUUAAUGAAAUAUAUUGUAAAUCCUACAAUUAAAUGCUAUAAAAACAAUUGGACCAACCACAGCUGAUCUACACAGGUGUUACUCUUUCAAUUUGAUUACAAAAGGAGACAACUGCUGAGUAGUUUUGCAUUGUGAUGUAAACAUGGACCCAGCCAGAAAUAGAGAAGUGACUGAAAGAGGAAGAAGAGUGGCUGGGAGGGGGCGAGGAAUACAUAUGCGUGGUGGAAGGAAAAAUAAGAGGAAGAUCAAGAGCUGUAGUCUCAGAUGAGAUCAGAGCUACUGUAAUUGAUCAUUUAAUAAAUCAUGGUCUCUCAAUGAGAGAGGCUGGUCAGAGAGUGCAGCCAAAUCUGCAACGCUCAGCAGUGGCAUCUAUUGUUAGAGUUUUCCGGCAAACCAACAGGACUCAACGGUUACCUCACACAGGUGGGAGAGGAAGGAUGUUCACUGAUGUGCAGGAAACUGCCAUUGUUUAUAUGGUCAUCAGAAACAAUGGCAUAAAACUCACUGAGAUUCGAGACAGAGUCUUGGCAGACAACGUUACUUUUGCAAAUAUUCACAGUGUAAGCAUAACAACUAUUUCUAGAGUCCUGAAAAAAACAUCAGGUAAGGAUGAAACAGUUGUACACUGUGCCUUUUGAGAGGAACUCAGGAACCAAUAUGUCCAGAGAGUCACGGAGAUUGAAGGCAGGCAAACACCCCACAUUUUCAUCUUUGUUGAUGAGGCAGAUUUCAACUUGGCCAAAACCACAGUGGAUGUCCGGGGCCAGAGGGGUGCCAACAUCACAAUGUACGCAGCAAUAUCCACUGAUGGACUGCUGUUACACAAACCACUAAUUGAGCCAUACAACACUGAACAUCUCCUUGCGUUCCUGCAUGAUCUCUAUGGAAUCCACAUGAUCAAAUGUCCCUCCUGGACGCAAUGAAUGCUGGAUGCCUGGACAUAUCAGCAGAAGAUUGCCAAGGAUGGAUCAGGCAUGCCAGAAGAUUCUUUACUAGGUGUACUGCCCUAGAUGACAUAAGAUGUGAUGUGGACCUGUGGCCAAAUGGAGAAGACCGAGUAGAUUAGCAUUACUAUUGUAUCUGUAUCAGUGGAUAGUGUGUAUACAAAUUCUUGUAUUUUGGAAUUACUCAGUGCAAAAAAAAAAAUAAUAAUAAAAGACAUAAAAUAUAUUGAAGCAUUCUGCAUCAUGUCUGAUUCAUUCCAGUAACCUAUAUUGCAGUGAAUUAUAAACAGA
This is a long non-coding RNA of Micropterus salmoides (largemouth bass), 1854 nucleotides long. RefSeq lists it as uncharacterized. The record is from RefSeq and is a predicted model, not a curated record. Lineage: Eukaryota; Metazoa; Chordata; Actinopteri; Centrarchiformes; Centrarchidae. The transcript has 3 exons.